Long non-coding RNA from Mustela lutreola (European mink), 667 nucleotides. RefSeq lists it as uncharacterized. NCBI's taxonomy places the organism in Eukaryota, Metazoa, Chordata, Mammalia, Carnivora, Mustelidae. The transcript has 3 exons. The record is from RefSeq and is a predicted model, not a curated record.
UUGAUGGAAGAAUUUUCUGGACUGGUUUAUUGCACUUAACAAGAAAAUGGAAACUUGACUUGAGAGAGAAAAAACAUUUCUAAAUGCUGCACACUGCUGGGGGUCAGUUGAUGUGGUCAGUGAAAACGCCAUGGAAGAAAGUGCCUCUUCAGACACACAAAGAGCCCUUGCUCUCCUGACCAACCUGAGUGGACAGCCCACCUGAGCUCUAAGUACGUGAUGGGAAGGACUCACCUGGAUGGCCUGCAUUAUCUGGACCACAGGACAGCAGCGCCUCCCCAGCCUGGCCUGAAUACUGAGACAGCUACUUUCAAGUCCUCAGCUGCCAUGACCCAUCAGCAAUAAUCACUAAACCAACCCUUCCUCCCUUGCCCAGACUCACUUUAUUCAGAGUCUCAUUGGACUUGUGAACUGUCUUUCACUCCACUGGUGAUGGAAAACAUUUGCUUUUUUCAGUGAACAUCUAAGCCACACCCUCCUACUCAAAAUAAACCAUCUCCAAAUAUCCCACCAUCUGCCACCUGUUUCUUCUACAUUUCCCCCUGGUUCCUGAUGCUGGGUCACCAAGGUUACACCCCAACUGUUCCGAUGAUAGCUGGGUGCCAGUGCUGUCCCGUGGAGAAUGCACAAGCCACCUUCACUAGGAACUGCUUCCUCCAGAUCCAGA